UCCUUGUUAGUAUAGUGGUGAUUAUCCCUGCCUGUCAUGCAGGAGACCGGGGUUUGAGUCCCCGAUGGGGAG
Bubalus bubalis (water buffalo) is the source of this 72-nucleotide non-coding RNA. The record is from the annotation of a RefSeq genome assembly. Lineage: Eukaryota; Metazoa; Chordata; Mammalia; Artiodactyla; Bovidae.